AUCGUCAUUGUCAUCGGUAUCAUCUCCCGCCAUUUCCUUUGUCUGUGCUCGGGCCGCGCGCGUCUAUGUUCUUUCCUGUAGUUUUGUACUUGAUCUCCAGCUCCGUUCAACAAAACAAAUGGCAAAAUACUGCAUUGUGGAGUUCAUUGAGGAAGGCUCUGUGGAAGUAGUUCCAGCUACAUGGAUUGCUGGCAACAGGUGCUCCUGGCCCCCUGGACCAGGUGACAAACCAAGUUUGGUAAAAAGGUGUCAAGCUCCUGGACGAGACUGGAUGACCUACAAAAUCACUGUAAAAGGAGCAUAUGAAAGGUACGGAUAUGCUCGGAGAAAACUCGACCUUGCCCAGUAUACAUCAGACCUGGACUCUGGUCAGGAACCAAAAAAAAAAACGAAAAAUACAAAAGCGUAUCAGAUAUGAGGAUGAGGACUCACAAUACAGUCCACCAGCACCACCACUGAAUUUUCCACGAGCUUCAGCUUGCCACUCUCCUGACGUAGGUGCACCUGGCGAAGAUGAUGCCACACUGUCCACAACAUCCAAUACCAUUAUCAGUAAUUACGACCUUGGUGGGUCUUGCUUGGAUGUUCUGCAUGGUUCACCUUUUCCGCAAGUUAGCCGUCAGUGCACAAGGCUACAACAGCAGCCAACACCUGCUGUUAAAAAAGUUAUUUCCCCAAGUGGUAAGUAAUAGGCCUUCAGCACGCUUUUACUGGAAGGUUUUUGUAAUACACGUUGACCUGUGUUUCGCUCUUAAAUUUGGCCUUUCAGCUUCCAGUUACUGUCACUUCUGUCAAUCUGCUAAUCGUAUGUCAGGCUGUAGCCAAUGCGUCGAAGAGGACAGUGUCUUGCAAAAUAAUGAGUGUUCCAGCAACGUUCUGAAUUAAUCAGCUUGCACAUCAUUUACUUGUUGCUUCAGGUGUGAUGAGAGAGAGAAAAUUACAGCACACAUAUUGUUGCAGACUUCCAGCGUGAAGUGCUCACGCGGCUGACUGCUCUUCGUCUUCUGGUACAGCAGCAGACAGAGCUUUUGACGGUGCUUUCAACUAAAUACACAAAGGAGUGUGCCAUUCAAGAACAAGACAGCAUCCUGAAGGAGCGGUUUGAGAAUAUUGCACCUUUAAGCGCUUCGACGAGUCUCUGACUGGCUCCACUGCAGAGUCCCUGGUAGGAAUGCCACGCGUGUCUCUCACAGGAGGGCUGAAUACUCCCCAGUGGUCAGUCAUAGGGGCACUCCUUUUCUUGAUGGUAAUCAAUUAUCUGCCAGGCUGCCUUCACUUCACACGUCUAUUUACGUUCUGACGACUAUGCCUGUAUCAGACAAUUCAUGAUGAGCCAGAUUCACAGGUUUUACAGUCCUCUCAGGUUGGCAUUCAACAUGUGGCAGUUGUCACUUAAUAUUAAUAAGAGUCUUGUCCUUCAUGAGCACUCAUCCCUUUCAUUUCCCCUACCAUUUUGGCAACUCCUGUCUCCAGCACGGCACCUCUUGCAAGUACCUCGGUUUGCAUUCCUAUGAGAUGUCCUGGACUAGCAAUAUUUCCUACAAUAUCGGCCGCGCAAACAAUAUUCUCGAGUAUCUGCAUCAUAAAGUCUCCCAUUGUCUGCAUUCAGUUAAAAAUAUUAUGUAUGUUACACUUGAAUAUGCUUCUGCAAUAUGGGCCUUGCCCAGUUAUUAUAAAAGAGCAAUAGAAGCUCUACAAAACACUCAAUUCAUUUUAAACCACAUUUCAUUGACUACAACAAUGACAGUAGUGUUUCUCCUAUGGAAACCGAUCUGUACCUCCCUACCUUAGCUCUGUGAAGAAAGAUCUCCGGUCUCUGCCUCUUCUAUCAUAUUUUUAUAACAGACACUUGAGCACAGAUAUGUAAGCAGCUGGGGUCGAAACCGGAACUGAAUCGUAACCCAAAACCGCAAAAAAUGGUUAUUUUUGUCGAACCGAACUGUAAACAAUUUUUCUCUCCUCUUGAACGAACCGGAACUGAACCAGAAAAAUAUCAUUCGGUAACCAGUUCGCCAGACGGUAAAAAUGCCUAUACCUUCCCAGUCGACUGCCGCGUACCAGCUCACUGCAUCCCUCGGAAUCUUGCGGAAUUCACAGAGUGGACAAAUCGAUGAACCAAGAAGUGGUGAGUCCAUGCACCUGCAGCCCCAUGCAUGAGUCCUGCAGCCUCACCUCCGAAAGCUUCAGGACAUGCCUGUAAAUUUUUGUGGCUCGAGGUGUAAAAAAAAAGAAAUUGCUACACGAUGGAUAUACUUUACACUGUUGGCUCGGCUGCUUCCUGUCAUUCAGGGUCGCAGUGUGAAUGCGACGUAAAUUUUAAUAGUCCACAGUUAUAUCUACAAGCAACGCAGACCUCUGGCGAUCAUGGGAAAGAGUUUGGCAUGUGGUCCAGAGCAUGUAAGAAAGAAACACAGGAGCGGCCUCUCGUCCUGUUUUCAACGGGGAGCAGCGUUUCGGCCCACGUAUGGUACUCUGGGAUACUCCAAUCUACCACGUGAUCGCUUUCUUCUCUUUUUUUUUCUUUAGAAAUUGGCGAUAGCCUUUUGUAAUGGAGUGUAAUGGCAUGCUGUACGCCAUUUCCCAGCACUUCUCGAUACAGUAAAGGAUGAUCUGCUGUGAGGUGUAUGGCAAGCCAUCGUCGGAACUUGUUAUUAGUACGUCUCAAAUGUGGCACACUGAUUAGCACAGCACACGUAAACCGGUUCGAACUGGUAAGUAUCGGUUCAAACGUUUAUUUUGGUUGUGCUGAACCCGAACCGAACCGAUAACCUUGAACCAGAACUUGAACCGAACCCCAAAAAAUAACGGUUCCGAGCCAUGGUAAGCAGUGCUGCAUUAUUUCUCAGAAAUCAUUCCCUCAAGGUGGAGUUAAAACACUGAAACCAUGAUUACUUUCCUUAUUUGUGUCUUCAUUCGUUCUAACACUAGGCCACUUGGCCUAGUGUUAGAAUGAGCUUCCACAUAGCAUGGUCGCUAUCUGAGGUCCACUACAAUUCAAAAAUAUAAUAACCAGCCUUUUCUCUUCCACGCCAGCGACUGUUUCAAUGUGGUGCUUUUUGGUGCCUCUGUACUAAGUUUAUGCCUGACCAGUAGGUGUUUUACUUUCUUCAGCUGAACAUUUUAGAGUGUUUUUCGGUAUCUAUAAUAACCUUAUUUGUAUGUUUAUCUUGACUUUUGUACUCCUACAUUGCAUUUCUGAUUUGUCUUCUUUCAGAUCUCCACAAGUUCUGUAAGUGUAUGUGUGCCCGUGCCACCUCCAACAGUAUGCAAAACACAGACUGAGGAACAGACACUAGACUUGUCUGUUCCUUCGUCCCUUUGUCUUUUGCGUCGUGUUUGCCUCAGUUAUGUAAUGCCCCUAUCUGGGCCUGAACGUAUGACCAGCUCUAAAUACAGAAGUGCUAAAGAAGUAAUACUCUAGGAAUUUUAAUACUUUGUAGCAGGGCCAUUCCAUGCCAAGUUAUCCAGAGAUGUCGCUCGACCUCCCUAGAAUUUUAUGAUUUUUUGGUGGUUCCUUAUGACUCAAAAAAGCAACAGAACAUUGGUCUUUUCUAACGAAAUUGAAAUUUAAGGGGUACACAGCCCCUCAAAGAUGCAGUGCUUUGCGAAAACGUACGUCGUUGCAAGCAGAUAUGACGGUCCACGUAAGGCACAGAGCGCGUUAAAGAGCAUCUUAUUUGACAGGGGAAAGCUCAUUUUACCGUAUGCAAGCAGUUUUCACCAUCACACUCCACGGGCUCUACGCUUUUGGCGUGCACGAAAUAUGCAAAUGUUGUACAAGUUCACAAAUUUGUUUGCAGUAUAAAAUUCUGGAAUUUAUUUCUCAAAAUCUUUUUGUCAUGUGGCCCCCUUCAGUAAAGGAAAGAUAUGGAGAUAAGGGUCCAUUCAGGCUUCAUGGUACCAUAUGGCUGAUUUUUUGUCGUAUGGCAUCCGGCAGUCGAGUCGUUGACAUGACUAUAGUAAUCACGACAUGAACAGUGAUAAAGUACUGCCUGCACCAAACACAAGCGUAAGUUCCUAGUAUGUGCCAUUGUUUCUUUCAUUUUUUAACACAUUCCAGUAUUGGAAACAGAUUCUUUAGCUGUCCGCUCCUCUUGCACGUAUAUAAAAGUUACUUGGUAACUGUGAUGUACGAUCUUUUCGUUUUGUGCACCAACACUUGAGAUGUACAUAUAAAAAGAAAUGCCAGUCACGGGGGCUAUCACUUUCAAUACCAGGUAAGCUGUUUCUGGGCAUUUCUGUAACCGCCACCUAUUGUACAUUUUUAAAAAUAAACAUAGAUAUCCAACACCAGGAACUUAGUGGUGAAAACAUUCUCCACUUGUGUUCGGUGCAGGCAGUACUUGAUCGCUGUUCAUAUCGUGAUUACACUACUCGUCCCUAAUUGUGGUCUGCCUUGGCCAAUUCUCGUUGUUUACGUCGUUUACACUACUCGUGUCGUGACGACUCGACUCGACUGGCGGAUGCUGGAUGCCACACGGCCAAAAAUCAACCAUAUGGUACCAUGAAGCCUGUAUGAACCCCUAUCUUCAUGUAUUUCUUUAUCUCUCACUUACCAGCACUGCGAGCUGGCUAAAAGUUUCGUUGGAGCGCAAGAUGCCCAGCUUGAUGAGCGCUCACUGCACAAACUUCGGGUCUCAAAGGAGGCAAACACGUGUUUGCAACCAUUAUUUGCUCCUCAAUAAUGCGACUGCCUAGUGUGCCUCUGAACCACUUGGCAUGGAAUAGCACAACAGCAAAUAAGCUCCAAAUAUAUUUUAGUAAUAUUUCUUUUUUUAUUUUUGUUCUUGUUCAGUUAUGCGCAUGUGUCAUGCAGUGUUGUGGUCUUUCAGAUCCGUCAUUUCAGCAACAUUGGGGGCGUGAGUCCAGAAUCGUGUACGAGGCGUAUACUCAGGGCACUUAUGUCUGAUCAAGUGGCAGCAGAAUUUUCCUGGCAGGGCAGAAAAGGGAAGCAACCAUUCAGAGACCUGAAUGUUUCCAAAUGCGUUAUUGCUGCCGUCAAGACUUCACAGAAGUGCAGCGAACACUCAGUUGAAAGUGCAGUCAAAGACUGGCUCCGCCAUGCACCCGCAAGAAGUCGGGACACAGCCAAGAGCUCUUCGGCUCACCAAAGGGCUCACAGAGGAGUGAACUAAAGUUCUCCGCCACAGACAACGGUACUCGACCGUGCACUACUACCGUACCUCAGCUCUGAUGCUCUUUUUUAACAUUUUUCCCUGUUGGACAUUUUUGCUGUUUGCCCAGAGCUUUUUGGAUAUCCUGUGUGCUGGUAACUGCUGCUCCUGGGAACCCUACACUCAGAACCAAGCUAGUCUUUAGUGAAAAUGUUUUAAUGUUUUUAUAUACACAUUAUAUCCAACCCACACAAACAAAAGAGUACAAAGUGAUGUACUACAUUUUAAAUAUAUGUGCAAUUAUAUAUACAGAGUUUACAUACAUGUUUAAAGUAUGCGUGACAUGUGAUACAGGGUGUCUCAGAAAGUGUUAAAAGUAUAAUGAACUAUGCCACCUAGAAUCACGUGACUAAUGGCUCAUGCGAAUGUCAUUUAAGUUUUUUCAAUGAAUUUUAAUGAACUGAGCUUAUGUUUUGCCGAAUUUCAUGAUAACUGACACUGAUAUCGAGGAGCCCAUCAAAACAAAAAACAAUCUGAACAUCAUGCAUUUCGGAAUGCUCGCAGCUUAACUCUUGGCAUCUUUUUGAGCCAGCCUGAUCGUGAGUGCGACAUAAGAAAGUUGCAGAACUCAGCCCACGUAUGGAUAGCAGAAAGAGAUGCAACUGGCAUUGCUUCUCGCAUUUGUCUUCGACUGCGAUCAUACCUUCAAUUUCAAGAACUCAUUUUUUGUGUUAUCCCUCUGGGGAUUUGGUUUAGCAACCUUCCUUUGCUUUGUUAAAAAUUAGCAUAAUAAAACCUCGACAAGAUGAUAUUCACAUCAGUAGGUGGUAAAAACCAAGUAAGAAGAAAUGCCAUUGACCACAUGAUCCUAGGUAGCGUAGCUUGCUUACCAUAAUUCAAUUACACGUUUUCUGGGACACCUUGCAUAUGUGUGUUUAAUGUUUUAUGUUCUCAAUAUAUUUGCCCAAGUGCUCCACACUAACGAAAAGUACAAUGUGAUGCACAAGCGUCAUGAUAUUAGUGUUUUUUUUUUUCUUUUAUGCGGUCGCUAUUCACUAUAUACGUCCAACUGCUCCAUACUUACACAGAAGGUACAAAGAUAUCUACUAUAUGUCUCAAGUACCCAGUUAGGUGCCGCUUCCACUUUGUGAACGACAACUAAAAAUAUUCUACGCGUUUUCUACUAUCUGAUUCUGUAAAGUACCAAACCACAAAGUUGUUUGUAGUACACUACGAUUCAUUUAAGUGCAUUACAAGCAAUUGCAAGAGACAUUGUAUUGACAAGGGAUAUUUCUAUUGAAAGUAUUUUGACUAUGAAAGAGUAUGACUAUUAUCAAUUCUGCUCUUCGACCAAGCGACCUCGCUUCGAAAUUCAAGACUUUAAUUUGUGAUGCUGCUCAGCUGAAGUGAAAAAUAUUUCCUGUGUCAUAAUGCAUGCAAAGUACAGGGGUGGUCCUAUAGAACGUCCAUUGGACAUCCAUCUACGCUUUGGAUGUAUGUCCAUUAGAUGGGACGAACAUCCAUACGGGAUAUCUCUGCAACGUACCAGCCACGUGUUCUGGACCAGCAUUCGAUCAUCUAUAGUACGUCUUUUCAACGUAAUCUGGAUAUAUCUCGAUAUCCAUUGGAGAUACUGAACGUCCUACCUGAACCAUCCUCUGGACGUCUAAAGGACAUUUGUGGUUUACUGGGUAUAUGUCCCGCGUCAAAUCGCGUCUCGCUACGCUACUGCAGGAUGGUUGGACUCUCGUUUUGCAAGUUUGCAGUGGAGACUUGGGCAUGAUUUCCUGCCGCUCAGGGAUCGUUUGCAUCGUUAUGGUAUCACCUCGCCUCGAUGUCCUUUCUGUUCUAGCCAUGAAACUGCGCAGCACGCUUUUCAUGAGUGUCUCGUUCCCGAAGUUACAGAGUUGAGGAGCUGUAUGGGUUUCCACAGAUUCGCUGGAGCACCAUUCAAACGCUCCUUCAACCCCCCAAUCCAAUCCGGGACAGACGGUAGUUGAUUCUCUUAACCGUAGAGAUAAACUACCAAGUGUGGAUUGCGCGGUGCAUAGCAGUACACGGCGGCCACGCUCGGGGCCGUCACAUGUGCUAUGCCUCGUUCGAGCGGGUGUUCGCAGAGUUUUACAGAGGGAGAGAGGAGUCCUUGGUGCUAUGGAGUUCGGAAGACGUUGGCUAACUUGCUAUUCAACUGCUGGCUAACUACGUUAUUGCUAUUCGAAGAAACGCACGGAAGGUACGUUGUUCACUACUAAGCAUUACUUUCUUUCGUGCCGUUAUCCCGAACGCAACUCUCCGCAGUCUUGGUCUCUUGCAUGGCGACGACAAGCAGGAACAGCAAUCCUUAACGUGACGUGAUUUCGCAAGCAGUAGUUAGCAUUGCACUAGUUCUAGUUUUAGUCCUAGCUUGUUGAGAUAGUUAUAUGGGAGCGAGUCCUUGUGACUGGUCUUCCGCCUCGAUGCCAAUACACGCGCAGAUAUAAUUUAGAAGAACAUACUUAGCGUGCAAUUUUGACUUUGAAAAUUUAAAGCAGAAAAUGAUCUUUAUUGUGGAGUUUGCGUUUUACAACGUUAUGAGCUAAAAACUUAUAAAAUUAAAGUAUGACCUUUCCAUUUGUAGUGCCCUGAUGCUAUGACACUAAAAUAUUCUGAUAGUUUUUCUGUAUGGCUACGGGAAAUCUCGAGUAUAUUUUGCGAAUUGGAUCUACGUUUAUGUGUGACCUGCGCUGAUCUGCUUGUUAUGAUUAAUAUAACAUAUCUUCCAUUGUGUUUAUGCAUAACGCUCAUCUUCAUUGUAUAUUGGUUAAAGGUCAGAAUGCCGAUUUUGAAGUGCCGCAGAACUGAGCAAUUCUCGCGCUGUGUGUUCAUUACCGAACACUGAAUAUGUGUGCGAAAUAUCUUGCUCCAACUGUUCGUAGUUUUUUAGAGAACAGUUUUUUUAUUUCCCACGCCCGGCCGUCAGACCGUCGGCAAACCCUGCGCACGGGCGCACCGACGUCACUGCUCUCGGUUUAUCUGUCUUUGGCUUGGCAUGGACUCUUGGCUUGGCCGCUUGACUGCUUUCGUUUCGUCCUCUGUGCCCUCUACUACUAUACUAGUAUAGAGUAGGUCGUGCUCUGUGCGCUCUGUGCAUCGUACAUAAGCGAACAGCUGUUAUGUUGUUGCUAAGCCGGAAACAAAGCAUGUGAAUAUUUUUUUUGGCACGGCGUCGUUUGGAAGGUGUACUUCCUUGUUCUGACCUUGCCUUUUAUGGGCUGGAGCGAUAUGAUACGUGAUAUGCCACGGCGAAGUUGUCGAAGAUGCGACGGUGCUACGCUGUUAGAACAAUGCAUCGGAACAUUCAAGUGUUACCUAUUAUAAGCUUCCAAAAGACCAAGCAGUGCGAAGCUCUUGGCUGACAGUGGUGCCUGCUAAUUUCCACUGCAAGGAUUUUUCGUCCACGAAUGUUAUCAUAGGUUACGCGCGACUCCAGAGGCAAUUUGGAAUCUCGACACGAAAUCGUCUGAUGAAAAUCUGAGGUGCCCGACGCACAACAUUUUGAACGUGCCACGGAGGAUCAAGGCAAAAAACGAGAGCAAAAAAGGUAAGUCGAGGUUCAGAUAUAAAAAAUAGCAAGCUUAAUGAAUCAAUUGUGCAGCUGUCCUACUGCGCUUACUCUGAUGUAACCACGACUAACAACACAAUAGUAUUGAUAAUCUAACUUCUGAAUUAUCACAGGUGCACGCUGAAGGCGGAAAUGAAGCAUGAUCUGGCUUGCAUCUGGUGCAUGAAGAAAUUGAUGACACAUUAGUUGCAGUCGACCUCCACCAACAGGUAUGACAAUGUGAUGUUAUAAUUUGAGUAUUCACCUAUGUUCAACUUUUCAUGUGCACUCGCAUGCAGACAUCUUGACACCACUUUUAAAUCUGCCUUCAAAGUUACAACCUGUGCUUUCAGGGUGGAAAACAAAGGUCGCCAUUCCGAUUAGCUGUCUGGACACUGGUUCCUGUGGAUGGGCUGUUACAAGCUUCACUGUCUGAUAUAGAAGUGAUGAGCAUCCAUAAGGACACAUGCCAGAAAGGGAGUCUCUUUGGGAUGACAAACCCUCAUCACCUCAUGAGGACACAAUGGUUGACGAAUGGUUCUCAAGCACAUCGAAACUUCAACAAAUAAUUCAUGAAAAAGCGAGUCAGUGCUAGCACCAGGAAUUGAACAUGGACCGUCCCGCAACCAGUCAGAGAUGUUACAUUUCAGGCGCUCAUUGACUUUUGGUGAAUUACUUGUUGACUUUGUCCCAAGGUGGAACUCGCCACAGCUCAUUUGUCUAUCUGUUAAUGUUGUGGCGUGUGUUGCGUUUUUCUCUUUGUGUGUUCCAGACUCAGAACGGUUAAUUUGGAUCAGGUCAGGUACGUUUUAUUUAGACAUGGCAAACAUAAAGUGGUGUUUCUCAACACAACUUAGCAGUGACCUUCAUGCAUUACUGCUACGGCCAUUAAGCGUGAAUCGAAAGCUGCACAUUAUGCAUGAUGUAAAACCCCAAGACUAGGGAACAGGAAGGGACAGACACAAACACGUCCCUUUGUGUUCCCUAGUCUCGGGGUUUUACAUAUGCAUCAUCUUGACCAGCUCGCCUGCUUCCUAGCCAUUUUUUCUGCACAUUAUGCUCACUCUACUUUUAUCGUGGGCUAUAUAAUCUUGUUCAAGUUCUGUCAAACGACGUGUAAUGCUAUAAAAAAAUUCAGUACACUGUUUAUGUGGGUUGAAUGGUAGCGCAUGAAUGCAGGAAGGAAACUGUCAUUUUAUGGCAAGUGUUUACGUAUUGUGCGUUUAACUACUAAUUUUAUUGGUUAGCUUUCGCCGGCGUAUCAUGUCAAGCCAUGUUAUAUUAAUUUGGAACAUGUUCUUCUUAGUAGCCAGAGCAGCUGAUACCCAGUGAGAACAUAGCCCGUGUGUGUUUGUCUUUUCCACCGCAGCCCUUUUGUUUCCUCCCUGAUUGCUACACAUGUCAGGGAUAGGUUUCAGAACCGGUAGUUCCGGCCAAGUGUGAAUUGCUUUUCAGGGGAUCAUCACGCUGGCAGAUGAAACAUAUGGUUUAAAUUAUAUUGUAUUAUAUAUGUUAUAUAUUAUUUGCAGGACAGGAAUUGCGUAGCUUCACAUAAAUACUACUACUACGACGUAAGAGUAGUUUUAAAUCUAACUUUUUUAUGUUCAAAAGGGGAAAAAAUUAAUAAAACACUGUCAAGGAGCCCGCGAAGAGGGAAUCACACACGUAACAUGAAAAACGGUUAGGAGCAACUAAUAUUUAUUCGUUUUUCAUGUUACGUGUGUUUUUUAUGUUCCUGACAUUAUCGCACAAGAUGUAGUAUCCACUAUGAUCCUUUAUAUGGGGGUAUGUACAGUGCAGUCAACAGAUGCUGUUUACAAAUCUGUGCUUUCUACUGUGUUGAAAUGGGGUAGUUUGUAUCUGAGAGCCAUAGUGAAACACAGGCAGCCAAGGACAGACUUUUGAUGCCCUCGAGAAAACAUGGCAACACAUUGCAGGGACUCUGGAUGCUGCCUAAAUUUCCAGAACACACAGCUCAAGGCAAUAACAAGUAAAUAAAUAACACGUGGGUAGAGAAAUCCAAGACAGUUGCAUGUGUAAGCAGUCCGCUGUUGGAUUUGCUUCUGUCCGAGGUACGUUAUCUCAAAGGGAACGCACGGACACACUCAGAAUGAUACUAGGGCUGCUUGUGAAAUAGAAUGAGGAGAGGGGAAGAUAUAUAACCCUUUUUUCUUGUCUGUUAUUCUAUUGGUUAAAUUGUCAUUUGCUUAGCAGCAUAUAUGUGUAUAUUCCAGAGUCUGCUAAUAAAUAUAUCAGUUUAGAGCUAGCAGUCGCAUUGGAGAUGUCUCAUCCUGUCCUUGGCUGCUUGUGUUUCACUGUGACAUUGCUUGCUAUUGCAAAAACAGAAAACAAAAAAGACAAUAGAAAAACACGAAAAGAGCGACCUAAAAAGCUGCCUGUUCUGGUGCUCACAUGGAGGCAAUGCAAUGAGGUAACGUGCUCCAUUCAUGAACUGUGCAUAGUAGUACAUAUCACAACGGCAACGAUUAUUCAGAUUUUUUCUUGAAGUACUUUGUUUUUUUUCAGCUUUGUUUGCAGAGUCUAUUAUUGGAACUUUAUGUGAUUCCCCUCUUGAGAUACUUUAAGAUUGCUGAUGCUGUGCAGUUAAUUUUGAAACUGUACUGUGCUGAGGUACAAAAAGAGAAUUGUCAUACCUGCAUUUGAGCACAUAGGAAUAAUGUGUAAGUACUUUCCUUGUUGACAUUAAUAUUUGCACCAGGUCACAACAUUGUUGAUUGAUGUAAAAUGUAAAUAAAUAUAUUUAUUUGCUUGCCAAACAAUGCACAAAUGUCUUCUUUUCUAGUGAGAUAUUCCCUGUUCACCAGACAUAAAUGUGGAAAAGUUAAAGGGGCACAAUGAUGGUAGAGUCUAGCAUUGCUUUUUCCCACUUCACAUAUAUUCACUGUUAUUCGUGUGCACAUGUAGGAAUAGGAAGGUAGAGCAUGCGCAUAAAAAAUUUCGUAUGCAGCCACACAUAUGGUUCAGAAGAUUAAUUAGAUGAUGUCCAAGCAUAUAUAAUUGUGCUUCAUGUGCAAUGGAUAUGCUAACGGAUUGCUUCCAUGUAGCCUUUUUAUUUAUUUUUUUAUAAAUUCUUUUUAUAAAUGAUAUUUUUUAUUUGAUAUAAAUUUCAUAUUACAUAUUGUAUACUUAUAUUUUUAUAAAUUUUAUAAAUUAAAAACUCAAAUUACACGGCCCCUGUAAGAGUGCCCUUUGCAAAUGGUUUGGUAACGUGUCUCUAACUGUAAAGGUAAGAGGCAAUCGAGAAUGCUGCAGACAGGGUUGCAACUUAGAUAUUGCUUAUCAUGUCCUACAUACAAAGUGAUUUGUACAAUAAUUCCUGAGGACGGAAUUAAUUCCGAGGCUGGCCAGUGAUGUCACCCAGGACGACAAAUCACAUGAUUGCCUCUAACACUUUUACACCUCAUGGGCUGAGUUGUGAAUUGAAAGAGCACUCUACAGAAGGAUGAGGCGCACCUGAUUUCUAGGAUCUAUGCUAUGCCCUAACUCUUCAGGCACUACAUUUCUAAAAACACCAUUUCUAAGUGGCAAUAUGUGCUCUGGUACUUCUUUUGCGUCUGCAUAGUGUGUAACCACAUGGCUACUGGAGCUUUCGUGUGCAUCUUUUUGUGCGACGGUGCUCAUUACAAACAAUAUCCAGAUGUUAGACAUAAAAUGCAGUAGUUUGUAGCGUGCCACACAAUGCAGCGUGACAUGGGAGUGUGUGAUUCAAAGAAAGCUUCUGGAAAAUGCACAGAAUCCCACAAAAAGUUUAAAAUGUGAUUGGUAUUUCGUUUUACGUCUCUCGUCGUUACAUACCAUCGUCGACGCUGUUGCGCAUUGAUAAAUCGUACGUAAAACUUGUCCCAUAGCAGUAUGCGGUUUCUCAAAUACAUAGCACAAUUUUUUCCUGCAGGAAUAAAACGCUGUCGGCAUUUUCUUGCUAACACGGCUGUCGAAACGUCAGUCUCUACAAUGGGCAAGUGCUGUAAAGGGGCUAACGCAGACGCGACUUGAUACAAAUUGUACGUGCUCACAAAACACAAAUGACGAAUUCCAGUCACAACAUCGCACAGAGGUUGGCUCGCGAAUGAGUUCGCAGCUGCUGCACUGUUUACUUAUCGCAGAACGGUGAAACCCGGCUGUCCGCCAUCUUCAAGCAUAGAUACGUGAAGUCGCGAGAAGCCGUAGCUGAAAUCCACUGGAAAGUACGAAGGCGCGUACACGUCACAAUGCCCGUUCGUCAGCUACGUGAUAAAAAUGGCUGCGCCCAUGUGUGUUUCGGAAUGAAUUAUCUAUUUUUUUUACAUGGUACUGCACCGAACUGAGAGAAUGAAGAUGCAUUUUGGGGAGAGCUGGAUGUGGGCUUUCAGAAUAUCCCAACCGUUUCGACUAUUUUGGAUAUCGGCAUAGCUGACCUUUAAGCAUUUCUGAUGGCGGUAGUGUGAUCCGCUUCUCCCAAAAUCUGAUUGCCACUUGGAAAUUAUUUCAUAUACGUUUGUGUGCCGUGUGUUACGACGAUUACGUGACUCGAAAUGUAGGCUUCGCCUGCACAUCAUGCUUGUAAAAUCCUCCAAUUGCAUCGCGGCAUUUGAUAAUAGAUUCGCUUUUGCGCGAAGGCUUCGUAUUAUCUCGCAGGCACUGAACUCACAGGCGUUCUUGUCGUCCGUGUUCCGUGGUCUUCCAGGGUCUCUGCUGUUCGCAAUUAAUUACAUACAUCUAUCGGCACCCGUCUUCAACAAAUCAGGGCAGGUAUCAUUAGAGCUGGUUGUUUGCUAGAAGCGUGCUAUGUGGUGAAGUUCAUUUUUAACAUUUCUAUUUUAUGUGUGUGUGUUGGAUGCAUAAAACAAGGCUAGGUUUGUAGUGUCUCUUAGAAUGAAAACUGUAUAGUGUUCGAUUAGAUUAUGUCACGAGGAUGAUUUUAUGACAGAUAAUAUGAUAGAUUCUUCUCUGUUCUUUUGAUGAAGAAUAUCUUCUUUGAUUAAAUGUUGUGUUAUAGAUUUUAUUUCCUCUUCCGUUCGUGUCAUUCGUGUCCUGUAGAUGACAGAUAGAUAUCCCAUGGUCUUCCAGGGUCUCUGCUGUUCAAAGUUAAUUACAUACAACUCUCAGAGCUUCCCGCUAUUGCAAUGGUGGUGCUCAUGCAUAGGAAUAUUAGACUUUUUAUAAUACAACUUGUAAUUUGUUUGUAAUCAUAUUGAUUAAGAAUGUCUUCUUUGAAUAAAUGUGGUGACCGUUUUUCGUUUCGAUAUGGUAUUGUGUAGCUAUUAUUUCCCUACAUGUUGGAGGAUAUGUCGGUUUGGUUCUAUAUUAAUGCUAUGUGUUGAUCGUGUUGAUUCGAGUUAUUUCCUAAUGUCUGCGCUAUUCACUUCACAAGGAACUGACUAAUUAAAUUUGUAUCAUGUUGGAAUAUUAAACUUAGCUUCCGUAUUGUGCUCGAAAUUACUUAUAUGUAUCAGAACUUGUAAUUAAGGCUGUAAUUCAAAAUAUUGUGUUUGAUCUGUGAUACCUAUUGAAUGCUAUGUAUCGUACAUGUAAUUAGUAUAUUCUCAGUUAUGUGUAUUGUAUUGAGUUUCUUCUGCUUCAGGUCUUUUUGGCCGGGAUUUUUCUCCUCCAUACAGAGUC
This is an RNA transcript of Ornithodoros turicata, 14313 nucleotides long. RefSeq lists it as uncharacterized. The record is from RefSeq and is a predicted model, not a curated record. The transcript has 9 exons. NCBI's taxonomy places the organism in Eukaryota, Metazoa, Arthropoda, Arachnida, Ixodida, Argasidae.